This 741-nucleotide ribosomal RNA is filed under the name Trebouxia incrustata. RNAcentral describes it as "eukaryotic LSU rRNA". The record is from RNAcentral. Lineage: Eukaryota; Viridiplantae; Chlorophyta; Trebouxiophyceae; Trebouxiales; Trebouxiaceae.
UUGAAUCUAUCGUGCCCACACCGCGAAAUUACUUAUGCCCUUCUGGAGUAGGCAAGCUUGCUAGUUUGCCCUUCAGCUGCGCAGGUCGGGGGCUGGCUCCUUUUGGUGUCAGUUGACUCGACUGGGCGGGUCCAAUACCAGCCGGAUUCCUCACGCCUCUAGGCUGUGGGGUUCUGCCGACUGUGAGGGGUGGCUGUUCAACUCAUUAAAGCAAUCAACUUUGAAGGCAGAUCUAUAGGCUGGCUUUGCUGGCUAUAGACUGAUCAAUAUCAGACAACUCUCAACAACGGAUAUCUUGGCUCCCGUAACGAUGAAGAACGCAGCGAAAUGCGAUACGUAGUGUGAAUUGCAGAAUUCCGUGAACCAUCGAAUCUUUGAACGCAAAUUGCGCUCGAGGCCUCGGCCAAGAGCAUGUCUGCCUCAGCGUCGGCUACUACCCUCAACCUACUUUCCUAUUUUGAUGGGGAUGUUUCUUGUCCUUAAAGGGGAAGUUUCCUAUUUUAUAGGAGAUUUUUCUCGUUUUGACAGGAAAUAUUUCCUGUUCUUUAUGGGGGAGGCCGGUUGGAUCUGGCCGUCCGGAUUGCCUUUCAGGCUGCCGGUUGGCUGAAAUACAUUCACGCUCUGGGGGUUGCUUUCCUUUCAAGGAGAGACGAGUUCCGAUUUGGUAGGUGACCUUUGCCGGUUGCAUGCCUUCGUUGCYUGUUAGGCUUCCCAGUAUGCGUUGUGCAGGACGCCUUUUGG